Molecule: ribosomal RNA, 492 nt
Filed under: uncultured bacterium
Lineage: Bacteria
Description: partial 16S ribosomal RNA
Rfam family: Bacterial small subunit ribosomal RNA
Source: RNAcentral
AGUGAACGCUGGCGGUAGGCCUAACACAUGCAAGUCGAACGGCAGCACAGUAAGAGCUUGCUCUUACGGGUGGCGAGUGGCGGACGGGUGAGGAAUACAUCGGAAUCUACUUUUUCGUGGGGGAUAACGUAGGGAAACUUACGCUAAUACCGCAUACGACCUACGGGUGAAAGCAGGGGAUCUUCGGACCUUGCGCGAUUGAAUGAGCCGAUGUCGGAUUAGCUAGUUGGCGGGGUAAAGGCCCACCAAGGCGACGAUCCGUAGCUGGUCUGAGAGGAUGAUCAGCCACAUGGGAACUGAGACACGGUCCAGACUCCUAAGGGAGGCAGCAGUGGGGAAUAUUGAGCAAUGGGCGAAAGCCUGAAGGAGUCAUGACGCGUGAGUGAUGAAGGCCGUCGGAUCGUAAAACCCUGUUAUGAGGAAAGAAAAAAAGUGGAAGAAAACCCGGAGGCUUUGACGGGACACAAUAAGAAAGCAACGGCUAACUACGUG